This 573-nucleotide small RNA is filed under the name Arabidopsis thaliana (thale cress). Its description in RNAcentral is "ATSL194280". The record is from RNAcentral. Lineage: Eukaryota; Viridiplantae; Streptophyta; Magnoliopsida; Brassicales; Brassicaceae.
AGCCCAGGUUGAUGUUAUCCAUAACAGUGACCCGGAGAACAUCUCCCAAAACUCGAAUUCUUCUGGAUCUGACAAAAUCACUCCCCCUCCGCAAACAAGGGGCGGAAAACGAAACAUCACGAUACAACCUCCAAACGGAGAUAACCCGGCCAACCUGUCUAAUCAGGUUCGCCCGCGACCUGCCAAUGAAUUGGCCGAGCUCCGCGCAAUGAUCAUUAACUUGAUCAACUUAACCAAAAACCAAGAAAUUGCGCAUUGCAACCUCGCCGCAAUUGUGGGUCAGGAGAGACGCGAUUCCACUCGCAUGGCACAUGAGGUAGAGCGCGAUAUCGCGGGUAAGGAGGUUUCCCCCCGCGAAACUGGGAUUCCUGCCCAGGUCCCCAUAGAUCUGACAGGUACCGUCUCCCCGACCGAUCCUACUCCGAGAACUCGUCUGGAUUUCGCCUUUUUACAGGCACCUGCGAACGCUCUCGUCGAAAACCUGGCAACAGAAAACGAAACAAGCACAACGCCUGCCUUCCCAAGGCUACCGGCCCCACCUUUAUUACCGAUGGGCUGUUCGCCCCCUAGGUA